RNAcentral lists this ribosomal RNA (245 nucleotides) under uncultured bacterium. Its description in RNAcentral is "partial 16S ribosomal RNA". It matches the Rfam family "Bacterial small subunit ribosomal RNA", at positions 528 to 772 of the family's 1533-position model. The record is from RNAcentral.
UAGGGGGCAAGCGUUAUCCGGAUUUACUGGGUGUAAAGGGAGCGUAGACGGUACAGCAAGUCUGAUGUGAAAGGUCGGGGCCCAACCCCGGGACUGCAUUGGAAACUGUUGGACUGGAGUACAGGAGAGGUAAGCGGAAUUCCUAGUGUAGCGGUGAAAUGCGUAGAUAUUAGGAGGAACACCAGUGGCGAAGGCGGCUUACUGGACUGUAACUGACGUUGAGGCUCGAAAGCGUGGGGAGCAAA